This is a non-coding RNA of Pelobates cultripes (western spadefoot toad), 333 nucleotides long. The record is from the annotation of a GenBank genome assembly. Lineage: Eukaryota; Metazoa; Chordata; Amphibia; Anura; Pelobatidae.
CAGAUUUUUCUCAUAUUGAAACAUUGAAAUCAGAUAGCGAAUACAAGGCAAUUGCCACAAUCUGCCAACUCAGUGCUUAACUAUGAGAAGCAUGGAAUCCAGUGCUUCUUAAAGAGAAACAUUGCACACACACAAUGCAGGCCACAUAAUAAGUGCUCAUGCUGGACAUCAAACACAUUCUAAAACGGAAUCUAUUUGAUUCUGAAGCCCUAGCCUGUCUCUCUGACAACCACUAGGAGGUGUGGAAACUGCAAAAUAUAAAGAGUGCUGUUUCACAGAAUGUUUUCAUUUGCAAGGCUGCAGAGGUAGCAUCGGAGCGCCCCAAAAUGUCUU